This is a long non-coding RNA of Equus caballus (horse), 5014 nucleotides long. Lineage: Eukaryota; Metazoa; Chordata; Mammalia; Perissodactyla; Equidae. The record is from Ensembl.
CCAGGCGCCAAGUUUAAUGGAUGUGGGCGAAGAUGGGAGAACAGAAACACCACAGCUGUGACGUCAAGGCCAGAUGGAGGGCGGCAGCUGGAGAAAGAUGAGUCAAAGUAGAAUUUUCUAAAUGAAAAGCCAUUUCCAACCCGAGUUUGGAAGGAGGACGCAUGGCUGCUGCCCAGCCACGGGCCUCUGGGGCCCCAAGAACUGACGUGGGCUCUUCAACCCUGGAGGCAUUUCAUAAACUUCUUACAACCAGAAAAUCAUAAUUACCAUCUCUGCAAUCAUUUCCCAUUUCUUUCCAACUGCCGUCUGUCAAGAGGUGCCGGCCGCGGAAACCCCGUGUACCUUGCGCAGUCACUAAUUAAUCCCAGAAGACGGCACCAGCUAAGUGGAAAUGCGUUAUUUGAAAAAGAUGGAAGGAAACCAGCCGCCAUAAGAAACCAGAGAGGGAGGGCAACUCUUUGCGUCACUGUGGAAAACCAAAACGAUGGAGGAGAUGGUUUGCAAAACGCAAACUCAAACUCAGUCCCUGACAGUAAGUGCUGGAAAUAGCAGUUCCAGCGUGGAGACUUUUCAAUGGCGGCCUUGGGACUGCGCGGCUCUGGGGACAUUUCUCAGUGUCACGUGGGGCGUUUUUACUCACUGUUCACUUCUGGACGCUUUUAGAAAAUCUGAAUUUUCUGUUUCUCAACUCAGUUUCUUUCUCUUCUGCCCCCAAAUCACGCGUUCUCUUCUCUCUGAGUGAAUUGCUAAAUAGGAAGGACAUCUAUCUCUACAUGGUCAAGCUUUGCUGUUUGCCUUUAAACACGUUUCCCAGGUCUUGAAAACAUCGAAACGUCUCCAAGUCCUGUGUUCCCUUUUCUGGGGACGUGACUGUGGCUGUGAGGUUCCCGUCCCAAAGCGCAGACCCACCUGGCGUCUCUGCCAGCGCCUCCUCUGCCAGCCUCUGGCACUGCGCAUGCCCAGCUGCCUUCUCGCCUGUGCAGCAGACAUGUGACCUGAGCUGGCCAAUCAGAGCGGUUGCGCUGCGGCAGGGCUGACAUGUGGUCAAUCAGAACCUUCUGGGCGGAUCUCUGGAUAAUUGGGCAGACCGGUCACAGGUGCUAUGAACCCAUUAGUGGGCGGUGGGCCUCUCUGUGCCACCUGCCUGAGAGACGUACGCCCAGAGCAAGGCCAGGCCGCCAACGGUAGAGAGCUUCCUGGUGACAUCCUCUGAGCCUGUGGACCUGGGCCGGCCUGAGCCAUCUUGUCCUGGACUUCCAGAUUUAGGAUCCAAUGCACUCCUCUUUGUCGCUAAGACAAUUUAGACAUGGUUGAACAUGCUGGGCACAGGGGACAUGCCGGAAAACAAGACAGACACAGCCCCGGCCCAUCAAUCCUAGCGCCUGCGCAACGCUGGAGCAUCCCACCUUGCCCAUUCCUCCUCCUCCCACCCCAAGACCCCACCUUCACACACGCACACAUGCACACACACAUGCGCGCACGCUCAGCGGCUUCAUGUUCCCACACGCCUCCUUUCCUCUGCCCAGUCGCUCUUCCCCACCUCCCCUCUUCCUGCCUCGCAGUCCCCUGGCUAAUUCUUCUGAAAUCCUUGUGAAUCAAGCUCAGCUGUGGCCUCCCCUCCUCCACUCCCUCGGCCCUUUGCUCCCCCUCAUGCUCUAGGCUGUGGAGAGCCCGCCCGCCCCCGUUCCCAGCUUCCCCCGAGGUGGUGGGCCCUUGGCUCACAGCACAGUCCCCGUCCGGAGAACUUGGCAAACAUCUGCAGCGCCCAGCUGAGCCCCUGGAGCUCCUUCUUGUGGAUUAUAAACUUAAAGAACUUAUUUCAAGAAGCUUCCCAGACUGGAAGAGGAGGGGAGAGCCUCGGAAAAGUUCUAGAGGAGCCCAUUCUCAGCCAGUUCCUCCUGAGCCAUGGGGUAUGUGGGAGCACGUCUACAGCCCUGAGACCAAUGCUGUUCGCUCAUCAAUGAAUGUUCCCGGAGACUGGGGCCGGGGUCUCUGCCGGGCCGGAGAUGGGGGUGAAGGAGCCAAGACCACCUCCCUCAGGGUCCUGCCACCCUCUGCCUUCUGUCUUUCAUCAGAGCCUGGAGGCCCUGGGCUGGAGGCCAUGGGGUGUGGCUUGGGGACUGCUACCCGGAACGCAAAGUGUCAGAGCUGCAGAGGCUCCUGGGCUGUCGAAACACCCCCCAUACACAGAUGUACUCGGCCUGGGUUUCCAGGGCACUGGUGACAAACUGGGUUCAAGGCCCCGCAUCCCCUCAGGUGCAUAGGCCCUAGCGUAGGGCCUGAACACCUCACGUUCCUCUUUGCCGGGGCGUUUACUGAGUGUCUGCUCUGCAUCCAGCACUGUACACACAGCCCUCCCACAACCUUACAGUUUACAGAUGGGGAAAACGAGGGGCAGAGGCCUAAGGGACUGUGCAGGCCCCCACCCAGCUGGAUGAGGGGCAUUCAGGGUCACGAGCUCAGCCUGGUACCGCCCAAUCCCAGCGUUUCCUGAGAAUGGGGACUCGUCGGAGCUGAGCCCGCAAGACUGAGUGAGGGGGCUUCUCUGACACCCCAGGGGCAGGAACCCACAGGACAGAGUAGGUGGGGCCCUGGGCGGGGGAGACAAGAGGAGUUCCAGGGAGGAGAGAUAGCUGUGGCCUCAGCGCCUGGGCAGCACCUCCUCGUGGCUCUCCAUCCCACAAGCUUCCCACGGGAUCUGGCCACCCAGUACUCAUGGUAAAUCAUCAUAGGGCCUCUCCCUGAGGGUCUCCAGCACUUUCCAAAACACUCCGUACCUGCCUGGGGAGACCUGUGGGUCAGGGCCAUCAGCCUGGAUUUCUUUCCUUGCCUGGGUUUUAAUUCAAGCAGGUAUUUCAGGCCCAGACAAUGCUUUUCACAAAACUCCUUAUUUGUGCUAACAACACGAGGACUGAACGAAAAUGAAGUGGGAUGGUCCCAAACUGUCCAGGCUGGGGUCAGGAGCUCCCCCAGCCUGGGAGUGGUGGCCACCAUCUCCAUCACUGAUGGAGUGUAUGAGUCACCAUGGUGUGGGUCACCUGGUGUGUGAGUCACCCGGUAUGGGAAUCACCCAGUAGGUACCACUCGGAAGGGACUCAUCCCAUGAGACAGACGAGUUUCACACAAGUCAGCAGCACAGGUCCAUAAACCAUGUGCAGAGUCACAACUUUGCCCUAGGAGCAUCUUUGAAGGUCCUGCCCCUCCUGCAGCCCCUGUCCACCCCUCCACCUGUCACACCCCUGUGGCUGGGCAGCUACCGCCUGUCUCUAGGUAGAUCAUUGCUGGGACCUUUUGAAGAAUCUAGAACUGCAGGGAAGCAAAGGCGAGGGGCUUGUGAGCCAUGCUUGGCCCAAAGGCAGUGGUCCUCUGCCUAUGCGGAUCCCUGGGCUGUCUCCCUUGGACAAUGCAAACCAGCACCCACCAGCCACACCCCCUCUCAGACCCCAUCCUCCAGUCUCUGCUCCCCAAGCUUAUCCACCCCCAUUCCUCCUCAGGCGUAAGUCCUUCCUGGGAGCUCUGAAAGGGGGUAUGGACCCCUGGUUUGUCUCCGCGUUCUCAGGGCCCUGGAGCAGGCUUCAACAGAUCCAAUCACUAAUUCCUUGGUUCCCUCUGCCCUUCAUCCAUGCAAGGGUCACGUACAGAGCACAGGCUGUGAGUGUUGGAGAGACAACCCAGGAGCCGCUUCAGGCCGGAGUCUGACUCAAAGCACGGGCUCCUGCAGGGGUGCUACACCAGGCAACAACGGGGGCCGCCAGAGCACUGAGUCCACAUACGCUGCUCCUGAUCCGAAACUCCUGAACCCAAAAUAAAAGCCGUCGUCCCUCCCUCACUGCGCACACAGUAGAGGAACAGGGCCGGGGCCACAGAAACUCCUGCUCCCACUGGGAAAGGAACAGAACGGGAGACACGGCCACACGGCCGGUUGGAUUCUGAAAUCCUGCUGGGUAGACAGAAGGGAAACCCCCCCAGGAAGGAGAAUGUUCCUUAAUUAGGUCCUAACCCUGUUCGAGGCGAGGCUUGUGCUUCCGGGGCCUCGCUUGGCCCUUCAGGGAGGGCCCUCCUUCGCUGCUGUUCUCAAGGCCACACCUGGAGAGGGCGCCAGAAGAGCGUGUCCUUUCGCCCAGGCCCUGCAGCUCGUUCCCCAGCUUUCUGUAGGGCCAAGAUCCAAAGAUCACUUUAAGUCUCAGUUACACACCAUUUUGGUCCAGACUUUUGGUUUCUUUGGCAGUAGAUGGCUCUCAAAAACCUAAAAACGUAGUCAGCUUCUUACUGACUUAGUUCCAGUGGACUCCGUGUUCCUUUGUCCUUUGGGAGUUCUUGAAAAAUGCCUCUCUCGUGCUCUCGCUCCUUAAUUUCAGGAAUCUGCAUACUCAGUCUCUUCUCCAUGGGCUAGUUUGCCAACUAAAAGGAUUUAUUGGUCAUCGUCUCCUCCACUCAGGUGUUUCAAACAACGUAUGUGAUGAGCAAACCCUUAUUUUGGUCCCUGCUACCAGUCUGAGUUUUGACUGCCUUUUUUGCUCAAGCAUUUCUCCGUGUUAAUUUUUACUGUUUGGAAUUGAGAAGUAAUUGCCCCGUCCAACUGUACAAGUCCCGAGAUUUCUUGACUUUAUUCUCUUUUAUUUUCAGCCAACAGCAGCCAACACACUCUAUUAACAUUCUGCUUUAUGAAUGCUUCCCUUUAAACUGAGUGUUUAAUUACUUGGGUAAUUACCUAUUUUUUGAGAUAUCACAGGUGGUGCUGUUACCAAAUAUUUCACCAGCGCCUGACAUGGACACCAUGCUUCCAGCCUCUAAUACAGACUGUGAUCUCCCUUCCCGCAGUGGCGAACACUUACGCAAUAGCAGACUGAAUGCGUGGGGAGAAUAAAUCAAGAGUCCUGUUUCAGCCGAAAUAAUUUUGAGAUGCCUGUUAGACAUCCACUAUGCGUUUGGAAUUCAGGGAAGGGGUUGAUGAUUAAGUAUCAACGAGGGAAUCACUGGCCUCUUGUUUGUUUGUGUACUGAGAAACAGGAAU